AUUGCGGCGGCCCGGGCGGUCGAUGUGGUACUGAUCGUUUGAUCAUAUUUACGCGGUGCGUAGAGACUUGGUAGAGAACAUGUGCUCCUUUUUUGUGUGAAUUAACGAUCACUAAGCCCUGGGUCCUGUGCAAUGCUAUUAGCUCGCUGUAUGUUUCUUGCGGUGCGCCGUUGUUGAUUAUCGUAGUGCGGUCCACACGCGCUUUCUUUGUGCCCGGCUCAUGAGAAGUGUUGUACUCUCGCCGCUCCCGCAUCGGCUCACAGUGCACGGAAGAAUGUGUUGAUAGUUGUGCUAUCGCGUGCUGUAGUUCACCGCAAUUCAACACUACGCUGGACGGACUGUUGGUGCAGUCGAUGCGGCGUGAACGGACACGACGGAGCGCUCGCCUCAGAAGGGAUGUCACAAUUUCCUGAGACGGAGGCAUCUGUGCACCACAAGGGAGACUGCGGCACUAUGCAGCCUGAACAGCACGACAAAGCAUCUGAUCUGCCUGCUUUGACAAGAUGUGGCUGGGCCUGCAGAAAGAGUGUAAGCAGACUACUGUGUUGCUGAUCAGUGCUGGUGCUGAUCUCUUUGUCUGAGUUGGCCUCACAACGUCCAGGUGCCACUGUGCUUUGCUUCAUUGACAAGGUGUGGCUGGGCCUGCAGAAAAGCUGUAAACAGACUGCAGUGUUGCUGAUCAGUGCUGAUCUCCGCGUCCGAGUUGGUCCCACAAUAUCCAGGCACCACGGUGCUUUCACAAGGUUCACAAUCGAAAUGGGUUAUUUAUUUGUGCUAGUAAGUGGAUGUGGGUAAACCAAGCCAAAACGGACAGCACGUUUGCCAGGGAGAUUGCCCGAUGCUUGUGGCAGGCACAUGAAUUAAUCCACAGGAGUGUUACGAGCAAAAUAUGUAUGCGAAAGCUAAAGGAAGGUGGUGAGGCCAAGCCAGCGUUGACACCACAAAAACUUGGUGCAUAUCUAAAGGCAUACGAGCACUUUGUUUCAAAAACACCAAGCACCGUGGAUACAGAGGCAAGGAGGCUGAAGGACCUGAACAAGCACCUGGCCACCAUGCUUCGGGAUGCAAAAUAAAGAUGGUUUGUGUUAA
Molecule: long non-coding RNA, 1089 nt
Organism: Dermacentor andersoni
Lineage: Eukaryota; Metazoa; Arthropoda; Arachnida; Ixodida; Ixodidae
Source: RefSeq, a predicted model, not a curated record